ACUCUACGGGAGGGCAGCAGUGGGGAAUCUUGGACAAUGGGGGCAACCCUGAUCCAGCCAUGCCGCGUGAGUGAUGAAGGCCCUAGGGUCGUAAAGCUCUUUCGCCUUGUGAAGAUAAUGACUGUAGCAGGUAAAGAAACCCCGGCUAACUCCGUUGCCAGCAGCCGCGGUAAUACGGAGGGGUUAGCGUUGUUCGGAAUUACUGGGCGUAAAGCGCGCGUA
RNAcentral lists this ribosomal RNA (222 nucleotides) under uncultured bacterium. RNAcentral's name for it is "partial 16S ribosomal RNA". It matches the Rfam family "Bacterial small subunit ribosomal RNA", at positions 335 to 573 of the family's 1533-position model. The record is from RNAcentral.